Molecule: ribosomal RNA, 378 nt
Filed under: uncultured bacterium
Lineage: Bacteria
Description: bacterial SSU rRNA
Rfam family: Bacterial small subunit ribosomal RNA
Source: RNAcentral
AGACGUAGGGCGCAAGCGUUGUCCGGAUUUAUUGGGCGUAAAGAGCUCGUAGGCGGCCUGUCGCGUCAAUCGUGAAAUCCUGCGGCUUAACUGUGGGGUUGCGGUUGAUACGGGCGGGCUGGAGUGCGGUAGGGGAGACUGGAAUUCCUGGUGUAGCGGUGAAAUGCGCAGAUAUCAGGAGGAACACCGGUGGCGAAGGCGGGUCUCUGGGCCGUUACUGACGCUGAGGAGCGAAAGCGUGGGGAGCGAACAGGAUUAGAUACCCUGGUAGUCCAUGCUGUAAACGUUGGGCGCUAGGUGUGGGGACCCUUCCCGGGUUUCUGUGCCGUAGCUAACGCAUUAAGCGCCCCGCCUGGGGAGUACGGCCGCAAGGCUAAA